UCAACGGAUAAAAGGUACUCCGGGGAUAACAGGCUGAUACCGCCCAAGAGUUCAUAUCGACGGCGGUGUUUGGCACCUCGAUGUCGGCUCAUCACAUCCUGGGGCUGAAGUAGGUCCCAAGGGUAUGGCUGUUCGCCAUUUAAAGUGGUACGCGAGCUGGGUUUAGAACGUCGUGAGACAGUUCGGUCCCUAUCUGCCGUGGGCGCUGGAGAACUGAGGGGGGCUGCUCCUAGUACGAGAGGACCGGAGUGGACGCAUCACUGGUGUUCGGGUUGUCAUGCCAAUGGCACUGCCCGGUAGCUAAAUGCGGAAGAGAUAAGUGCUGAAAGCAUCUAAGCACGAAACUUGCCCCGAGAUGAGUUCUCCCUGAG
This 371-nucleotide ribosomal RNA is filed under the name Salmonella enterica. RNAcentral describes it as "partial 23S ribosomal RNA". It matches the Rfam family "Bacterial large subunit ribosomal RNA", at positions 2449 to 2819 of the family's 2925-position model. The record is from RNAcentral. Lineage: Bacteria; Pseudomonadati; Pseudomonadota; Gammaproteobacteria; Enterobacterales; Enterobacteriaceae. RNAcentral also lists the same sequence under 1 other name.